CCUCCCUGCCCCCCCACCUAGCUCCGGGUCCAUAAUUCUGUUCUCUGUGUCUGCGAUGGAGGAGGUUCUUGCACUCAGCUCCUCCUGACUUUUCAGAGCUAGGCCAGGUGGUGAUGGGGGGAAGGAGGAAGGGUACUGCAGGUGAAGAGCGAGAUGAGAUGUGUGAGACGUGGGUGCUGAGAUACAGCGAGUGGUCUUGGUUCCCCUGUUUCUCUCCCAGGCGUGGCCCUUCCGUCCCGCUGGUACCCUUGUGCUACUGGUGCAGAGCCUGGCCCAGGGCAGCCGCUCACUGCUCACCCGUGUAGACCGGGGACACAAGCCUCACAGGAUCCACCAUGAAGCCAUGGGGAGCAGGCCUUCUGCUGCUGCUGUGGUUCGCCUUGACUCAGGCCCCGGGUGUCAGCCAGGUGUGAGGGGCGGGGAAGGCAUUUUGGCCAUGUCAUGGUCUCAUGGCCCAGAAGCUGGCAACAAGGAGGAAAGGACGUGGUGGGAACCGCCUAGGCCUGGCUCCAGCUCCCUGAGUCAGGAGGACUCCCCGGAGGCUCCGGUGGGAUCUCGUUCUGACCUCUCCACCUGACUGGCUCUAGUGGCCGGGGCAGGCCUGGCCUCUGCCUGAUUAGAGGCCCAGGCUGCGUCACCCUCCAAGGCGUCCCAGCCAUUCUCCUUGGCUGGAGUGGUUUUCAGAGCUGGAAAGGACGUGGGAGACCUUCAUCUCGGCCCUCUUUGACCUGUGAGGAAACAGACCCAGAGCGGAGACGUGAGGUGCUCAUGGUGCUUCGGCCAGUGACAGCCGCGAGCAGGCCUUGUCACUCUGGGUCCAGUGCCCCUUCCUGGCCUUGUGAGUGGGGGCGGGGACGCUGCCCAUGACUCCAGAAGGGGUCCACCCUCCCCCACCACAAGGUGGUCCUUUCCCACCACCCCAAGGUCUACAACUGUCCCCUGCCUACCCUAAACCUCCCCUCCCAUCCCCUCCAUUUGCUCACUUACUCUCUUGUCAGUGGAGAGAUUACUUUGCCAGGGCAGUAGUUGUACAGGGAAGUUUUUUCUCCCCUGAGAGGAGGGCUGGGCUGAGGCUGCUGAUUAUUCGGUGUCAGGCCUGCAGGUUGUGGUAUUAAGUCACCCAACACCUUAGAAAGCCACCCCCGCCCAGUUGUGUUCCUUUUUGACAGCAGGGCACUUCCCUUAAAUGUGGCUUAGCUUUACCAGCGGGUUGGCCAGAUAAGGCCCUCUUUAUUCCUGGUGCUGUUACUAGAAUGAUGAAUCGGCAGACCUGCCGUGACUAGUGUCAAGCCAGAUCUGUGUAGGUCGUUAUGGCUCAUUAAGGUAUUGACAUUGAUAUUCCUGAGAAACAUUCCUCAGCCUGGACUCUCCCAGCACCUGACUGGCCCCAGUGUCCCUCUCCCCCUCGGGCUGGGGCUGGUAAGAAGAGGCACCGGGUUUCCAUUUCCUGGAGGAACAGGGAAUCAAGGCAUAAAGAGAAGAGUAGCAGGCUUCCAGGAGCCAGGAGCUGAGAACUCCCACGCAUCGGCACCGCCGCCCCCCAGCCCCGACCUCGGCCUUCCCCAUUACUAGCACCCUCCCCACCCCGUCCCCUCUGAGUUUCCUGGCUGAACAGAGCAGCUCUCUGUUGUGUCCUGGGCCCUCUCGAGACCAGCAGAGAGGCUCAAAUCCUGGGUUCAGAUCCCAUAUUCACCACUGAUUAAUUGUGUGCCUUGGGCACAGUUAUCUGAUCUCUGUUUUACAGUCUGAGAAAGCAGGUCUAGAGCUAAAUACCUUCUUCCUUUUUCAUAGUGGAGUUGUGCACAUAAAACUACAUAAAUAAGGCAUACAAUAACCUGACCUGCUAGAUAUCAUCAUCUGAGUAAGGGCUGAGUCUGUGAUAUUGACCAGCCCUUGUGUGUUGCAGAAAAUGGUAUGUAUCUAGAAGAGGAAACUGUUUUAACCAUUCUCUCUCUCAUGGGGAAGGUUGUGAUCAGAAGUGAAGUGAAAUUCACUCAGUCGUGUCCAAUUCUUUGCAACCUCAUGGACUGUAUCCAUGGAAUUCUCCAGGCCAGGAUACUGAAGCAGAUUCUUUACCUGCUGAGCCACCAGGGAAGCCCUCUGUGAUCAGAGCAAACAGCAAAAACGCCAAGGCAGCGUCCUGACCCUGAUCUAAUUGACUUGCUGACUCUCUUGAGAACAGCUGCAUCUUUCCUGGGGGUCUCCCGGAAGUAAAUGACCAGAGCCCUAGGUAUAGAGCUGAAGAAGCUGAGCCUGGAAUGUGCUAGAUGACUCUACGGGGUGACCUGUGCUUCUUACACUUUGCUGGGCCUCCCUUGGGCAGGAGAGGUGCCAUAGAAAGGAGCUCUAGGGUGCUCUGUCUGUGAUCCAGGGCAUGAUCCCAUCCCUGGGCAGUUUGCUUCUCUUGCUCCUGCAGGUUACGGGCAUUAACUUUACUCCAUACCUGAACCUGAGGAUAGAAUGCGGCUGGGAGAUGUUCCAGCCCUGGAGUGGCCCUUGUGUGCUAAGUUGCUCAGUCAUGUCUGACUCUUUUCAACCCCAUGGA
This is a non-coding RNA of Odocoileus virginianus texanus, 2545 nucleotides long. Lineage: Eukaryota; Metazoa; Chordata; Mammalia; Artiodactyla; Cervidae. The record is from RefSeq and is a predicted model, not a curated record.